Long non-coding RNA from Daphnia carinata, 986 nucleotides. RefSeq lists it as uncharacterized. The record is from RefSeq and is a predicted model, not a curated record. Lineage: Eukaryota; Metazoa; Arthropoda; Branchiopoda; Diplostraca; Daphniidae. The transcript has 6 exons.
CUGGAGCACCGAAGAGGACGCUGGAGCACCGAAGAGGACGCUGGAGCACCGAAGAGGACGCUGGAGCACCGAAGAGGACGCUGGAGCACCGAAGAGGACGCUGGAGCACCGAAGAGGACGCUGGAGCACCGAGAUCGUCGUCACGGAUAUUCAGGUAUAUUAUUUUUAAAUUUAAUGUCUCACCAUGUUUUUUUACGUACCCAGGAGGGCUCUACUACCACCGAAGAGGAUCAUUGGACAGCGAGGUUCGCCGUCGGAGCUACCAGGAUUGUCGCCCAAGAUUGUCAAGAGGGCUCCACCACACCGAAGAGGACCACUGGACGUCGUGGAUCGCCGCUGGAGCAACGAGGGUCGCCGCUCAGCUCCGAGAUUCACGUCCAUUAGGACGACGGAAACAGAGAUGGAUCUUGAGGACUUGCAGUGAACGCAAAGAUAUAGCAAAAUCAAACACCACUCACGAAUGUCGCAUCGUUAAAAUUGAAGAGGAUUAGAGUUCAACAUGGCGACGAGAACACACCAAAUGUAAAGCCUAGACCACAGAAGGGAAUUUCAAUAAAAUCCUAGAAAUUUUCCUUGUGUUUGAAAAAUAGACUAGACCUGAAUUUGCCACCAUUUCAAGUACGUGUGUCUUGGAAGCAAUUGUGAAUGUUGUAUGCUUUUAGUAUACCGAGGAGGCACCUGCCAAGAAAAUAAAGCACAAAGUGAUUAACAUGUUCAGUUUUGUAACUUCACAGAAGGUGUCAAAGUCAAAUGUGCUGAAUAUGCUCAUAUUUUUGCACAAAUGAAAGAGAAAAGAAGGUGAAGUCCCUGGAGUUGCAGGUCUAUGCUAAGAACUUAAGGUCCAUGGAAAAGAUGGAAAAUGUCGAGCUCAUCUUGGAACAAGGACAGUAAACAAGGACUUUCAUUUAGGAUAUUCAUAGAAGAAUAAUGGCCAAUUUUUUUGGAAAGGACAUGCCUGAAUCGUGAAUAGAAGUUUUACAAGUAAA